AGUUCAGGUAGCUCAGGAUCAGGAUGGCUCCGGUUCAGAACGAAGUUGUUACGCAUUAUUCAGAACAUUUGAAGCAUAAAAAAUGUAUUUAUAAAGUCAGGUACCACGAUGAAUAUGCGGCCCUGAGCCUCUGGCCACUAGUCGCCAGUCGCCAGUGAUAUUUUGGUCCAGAUGGGACAGUGGGAUGGGACACAAGAUAUCGCUUGCGGCGUCUCAUAUUGCCGGCGCGCUCGCGGGAGCAUCCGCGCGAGCAAAGUGAUCCGAGACUCCGAGGUGUUGGAGAAUCACGUUGACAGACAUAUGAGGAUUCCAGCAGCGAGAUAGGAUAUGCGUGCCGACUGUAUGCGCGACCGAAAACGCGAGAGAAUUGCAUCAAAAUACGCAUCACCUAGUUCCCAUUUCUCUUCUCCUUUCUCACCAAAUCGAUGAAUGAAAAUUAUCUAUGAGAAUAGACAAACGUAAAGUUUUUACGGAAGCAGAGAUACAAAAAAGGAAGAAGACGGACGUGUCUAUCGACGUGGGUAAGAAUUGUCCAAGCAAGCGAAGCACGCGAAGACAGACGUUGACCGUGACUGCCACGGAUGCCUAGAAGAGGUUUACCUUACGUAAAUAGAGAGGACGAUCUCUGUCACAUUGCAGCAUGCAUACCAAGUUGACCAUAGUAAGCGUAUUAUGGUCAACGCAUUUUUAUACUCCACAUUAUCAACAUUUUUCUUUACUACAGGGAGCAUUUAAAAGACCACGAUGAAAAGUCAAAAUACGGCGAGGAUGGCAGCAGUAAAAGUAGAAGGGAGCAGUGAGACAACGAGAGGGAUGAGGAAAAGGUUGCAGACAUAAAGCGUAAACAGUCGAGGUGCGAUUUGACGCGCACUCGGCCGGGACCGUAUGUACAAGACGCGCCUUCCGCUUUAAGAAUCGCCCCGUGGAAGAGGACGAUGGCUGGAAUCUGUAAAUCUGUCAUUGCGGCCGUAUUCGUACGCAGGAUAUGAACUUCUUGGUCGUCGCACAUCACCGCUCCACGCCGCGACGCUUCCUCAGAUCUGGCCGGUUGAUUUCUUCAGAGAGUCGGCAAGAGUUUUUGAUUUUCAAAAGUAACAUGUGGCAAGCUUAGAGCAACGAUAUCAGAUCAAGCACAAGCUGGUGGUAGAAAAAAUGCAGUAUUACAAAUAUUGUGACAAACGUAAGGCGACAAACACUUUCACGGAGCUCGAUCGAUGGGCACAAUUUGGUAAAGUCGUCAUCAUCAUAUGAGGAAUCGAAGGAAGAAAAAAGGGUCCAAAAGGGAAGAAGAAGAGGAGGAAUGGGGACACGUGAAGCUCGGAUUCAGUGGAAGGAAGGAACACCACAGGGGGGCGGUCGCAAUGUUUGACAGCCAGAAGAGAACCGGAAAUGGGCUGUUUCAUCCAAUGAGCGCCAUUCGCAGGACUGUCGGGAUGUACAUGAAUCCUGGGGGGUGAUACAGGAUCAGCACGACCCGCAACAACCCAGGCGCUGCUGUGGAACGCGUAUCGAUACCUCUUAUCAUCACACGGAACGAAAUCCAUCACCAUCAGAUACUCUGUGUUGGGGUCCAAGCCGAACAGUCGACACUGCGAAUCAUCAAAAUUUCCAUCAUUUCUCGUUUCGUUUUUUGCGUGAAAUAUUCUUAAUCAAGCUGGACAAUAAUUCUCAAUCAAUGUCACAUUUUUUAUAUUAAAAAAGGGUCCAAUGAAAUUUUCUUUUCUUUCUAAUUUUUCUUCUAAGCUUUUUUUGACAUGUAAUUUUAAAACACUAUUCCAUUAUAAUUGACAUUAAAAGUGGAAGAUAAUAAUUCUA
Nylanderia fulva is the source of this 1815-nucleotide long non-coding RNA. RefSeq lists it as uncharacterized. NCBI's taxonomy places the organism in Eukaryota, Metazoa, Arthropoda, Insecta, Hymenoptera, Formicidae. The record is from RefSeq and is a predicted model, not a curated record.